CGCAUAGCAAAAUACAGUUUGCCAUACUUUCCAAACAGAAAGUAUGCUCUAACUGUUACUGUUACUUUAAGACAAACAUUUGGUUUUCUGUUUAACAAUAUGAAGCCUGACGCUACACACCAAAGAGAACGUCUUUGAUAACGUAUACCAACUAGUAACAGUAUGUUAUAGUGUCGGCACAUUGUUUGACGUUAUGGAAAUAAAACUCGUGAGAAAUGGUGGCACUAUGGCAUCACCUCAAGUCAAACGGUCUGUACUCGCAGUAGCGCAACACACUAUCACAUAUGAGUUUCACAAUACAGUACUUAUUCACAACAAUCUGUCAUAUGGUUACAAGCAUUUGUAUUUGUAAAUGAAAUAUCCUAAGGUUUGCCGCUGCGCUGUCUGUCAGAUUAUUCAAGAAAAAAAAAGCAAAAAGUGCAAAUCUUGGAUUUCCGAACAAUUAAAAAAUACUUUGUCUCCGGCUCAACUGCGGAAUUUGCAAGUGCCUCCUAAACCGGAAUCGAAAGGUGGUGGGCCACAGGCCAUCGUGGCGGGCCAGCGCAACAGGCAACAAAAUUAAAGAUUUUUACCGACACAUUCCGGCGAAAUGACCAACGAAGUGGACUUCGGUGACACUCGGUUCCCUUUCGAAAGAAUGUCCGGUUUCCUCAUCUCGCUGCAAGAGCCGUAAGUGGCACUUCCAGGCCCGCAGGAAGCAGAUGUCGGUGCUCCUGUCUAAGAAUG
Long non-coding RNA from Aedes albopictus (Asian tiger mosquito), 726 nucleotides. RefSeq lists it as uncharacterized. NCBI's taxonomy places the organism in Eukaryota, Metazoa, Arthropoda, Insecta, Diptera, Culicidae. The record is from RefSeq and is a predicted model, not a curated record. The transcript is spliced from 2 exons.